UUUGGCUAAAAACAACAUUUCCAAGUGAAUUAAGACAGAUUUUGUGCACUGUAGCAUUGGCAUGCAUGCAUAAGGUGAAUUGACAAAUUGGCAUUACACUUGGUUUUCAUUAAUCUCAUUUGCAUUGCCUAAUUGUGAUUAGCAUACAUCAUUAGUGCAUCAUAUAUAAGCAUAAGCCUAACAGAAAAUAGGGUUAACAACACCAGAAUUCAGAUCUAGAUCCAAUUUGCACAUUUUUCUCUCUCACUUUUUCUUCAA
Molecule: long non-coding RNA, 258 nt
Filed under: Lathyrus oleraceus (garden pea)
Lineage: Eukaryota; Viridiplantae; Streptophyta; Magnoliopsida; Fabales; Fabaceae
Description: Pisum sativum (pea) long non-coding RNA (PSAT_LNC024770)
Source: RNAcentral